CCUACGGGAUGCAGCAGUGAGGAAUAUUGGUCAAUGGACGAGAGUCUGAACCAGCCCAGUAGCGUGAAGGCUGACUGCCCUAUGGGUUGUAAACUUCUUUUAUAUGGGAAUAAAAUGUUCCACGUGUGGGAUUUUGUAUGUACCAUAUGAAUAAGGAUCGGCUAACUCCGUGCCAGCAGCCGCGGUAAUACGGAGGAUCCGAGCGUUAUCCGGAUUUAUUGGGUUUAAAGGGAGCUUAGGUGGAUUGUUAAGUCAGUUGUGAAAGUUUGCGGCUCAACCGUAAAAUUGCAGUUGAAACUGGCAGUCUUGAGUACAGUAGAGGUGGGCGGAAUUCGUGGUGUAGCGGUGAAAUGCUUAGAUAUCACGAAGAACUCCGAUUGCGAAGGCAGUUCACUGGACUGCAACUGACACUGAGGCUCGAAAGUGUGGGUAUCAAACAGGAUUAGAUACCCCGGUAGUC
RNAcentral lists this ribosomal RNA (460 nucleotides) under uncultured bacterium. Its description in RNAcentral is "partial 16S ribosomal RNA". It matches the Rfam family "Bacterial small subunit ribosomal RNA", at positions 338 to 795 of the family's 1533-position model. The record is from RNAcentral.